RNAcentral lists this transfer RNA (69 nucleotides) under Cavia porcellus (domestic guinea pig). It matches the Rfam family "tRNA". From Rfam's summary of the family: Transfer RNA (tRNA) molecules are approximately 80 nucleotides in length. The record is from Rfam by way of RNAcentral. Lineage: Eukaryota; Metazoa; Chordata; Mammalia; Rodentia; Caviidae.
GGUGUUGCUGAGUGGUAGAGCUCUUGCCUUCUAUUUAUGAGGUCCUGGGUUCAAUCCCCAGCUCAACCA